RNAcentral lists this ribosomal RNA (253 nucleotides) under uncultured bacterium. RNAcentral's name for it is "partial 16S ribosomal RNA". It matches the Rfam family "Bacterial small subunit ribosomal RNA", at positions 524 to 776 of the family's 1533-position model. The record is from RNAcentral.
UACGUAGGGUGCAAGCGUUAAUCGGAAUUACUGGGCGUAAAGAGUGCGUAGGCGGCUAUGUAAGACAGAUGUGAAAUCCCUGGGCUUAACCUAGGAACUGCAUUUGUGACUGCAUGGCUAGAGUGUGGUAGAGGGAGAUGGAAUUCCGCAUGUAGCAGUGAAAUGCGUAGAUAUGCGGAGGGACACCAAUGGCGAAGGCAAUCUCCUGGACCUGCACUGACGCUCAUGCACGAAAGCGUGGGGAGCAAACAGG